Molecule: non-coding RNA, 2393 nt
Organism: Cyanistes caeruleus (blue tit)
Lineage: Eukaryota; Metazoa; Chordata; Aves; Passeriformes; Paridae
Source: RefSeq, a predicted model, not a curated record
CCCCCGGGCAAACCCCGGCCGGACCGAACAGCCCAGCUCAGCCUGGCCCGGCCCGGCCCAGCCCGGCCCCUGCGUUCCCCUCCCUCGGCCGCUCCCGGGCCGCCCCAGUCGGGCCGGGCGCUCUCGGCUGGACAGCGCUGUCAGGCGCUCUCUGGUUUUCAGACACAAUUGUGUUUCAUUCCCCGCUCUCUUAAGUGACUCUACAUCAUCUAUAACGUGCAAGGCAGCGAAAUGCUUUCAUGGCAUUUUUUUGUCACUUCGUACCUUUGGAAAAGGUUGACUUGGAGGGUACUUAGAUUUUAUUCGCGGAGUAGGACUGAUUCUAUAACAGGUUAAAUUCUUUGAAACGUUGGGGAGGAAAAAAAUAAUCGAGACGUUUCCAUCUAAAGUUAAAAAAGUGUCAGAAAAUUCAAUGCAGCCUUGGAAGCCUUGAUGUCUCCAAGUUAAAGAGACACGUUGAGUACUCACUCACAGUGAAGUGUAGCGAAAAAAGGUGAAGAUGACACCAUCGCCUCCUUCUGUUACUUCAGAUUAAAGAGGUCACCAGGUAGUUCAGCUUAGUCUUGUGUUUAUAGGCAAUUUGUAUUAAAACUCCAGAUUUUGCUCCAAAGCAGCCAAGAAAUCACACUUUUUGUUCUUCCAACACUGCUGGAGAUAAAUAAUUAUAGCAGAAGGAUGGUAGCAUUUUAAAUUACCACCGUGUUUUGCACAGCAAAUAUGCUUCAAUGCUUUAAGGGGUAAUUGCUUUGAAAAAUUCCAGCUGAGACAGCUCAGCCAAAUUUAAGAAUGCAUUUAGGGAAUAGUGCAUUUUUCUGCUCAUGUAAUUUUAAAAAACCCAAAUUAAUUCAUUGACAAGCUGCCUAAAUUUACCAGUCUUUGGUGAGGUCAGAGCUUAAUUUUUGGCCAGGCACAUGAAAAUAUAUCAAAAUUUGGCAAACAUCAUUUGUGAAAUCAUGCACAUAGUUAUUAAAUAGUUGAGGAGUUAUUAGCUGAGAAGCUUGGGAGUCUGAGUUUCCAAUACUGCAUAUUGUCUUUGCUGACUUUAUUUUCAGUUGCUCCUUUUAAUUUUUGGUAUCAUUAUGGUGCCAAGGAAAGAUGUAAUUUCAAAGGAUUCAUUGGAAAUUAUUUUUUAAAAUUUAUCCCAAAAUAAAUUUUAAAUCAGCACUUGGUGCUGAACAUUCUGAAUGUAUUAAAGGAGUAAUAUUGGUUGGUACAUUUUGUUGUCAGAAAGUAUAUUUUCAUUUCUAUAUGUGACCUACCAGUAACAUGGUCACACCCUGAACACACUAGUGGUUUCACACUUAUUUUGCUCUUAUUAAAUACAUAACCAACAUAUUUGUUAAGAUACUGUAGAAAAUAUCUAUCCUCCUUGUAGAAAGUAGCCUUUGUUUGCUCUGUCUCUAGAUUUUCUCCUGUCCUCUCAAAGUACCCUGAAAAAGGCUAAGACAGCUGAAUGGCAGUAUUUUGCAGCUCUCCUAAGCUCACCUGGCACUGCCUGUAAGAGGAACAGUGGAGAAAAGUACAGCACACCUCUAGAAAGCAAAGAGAAAAUAACAGAAAUCCCAGAAAAUCUUGAGUGGUAUCUGUGAAGUUUUUGGUCUCUGUUCAGGAGCAUGAGGAUUGUGUUCCAGUGGGAUGGGUGGAGGCCAUCACAUAUUCAUAGGGAAGAAAUGUGGUGAGGGAAAUGCUACAGCAGAUGCAGACUCGAUUAACAGUGUGUGUUCUAAUGUUAGAGAGAUACAAAGUUUGUGCAAAGAGGAGGUGGAAAUAAGUUAAACUUCCUAAUUUGUUUUCUGUCAGAUGAAAUGAAUGUGCAGCAGAAUCAUUUCCCUGAAUUCCAGCCCUACAUUCUGCCUGCUUUCUUCCAGAAGCUUUUAAUUUUAUAUUGGGAAGAGGAGACGUGCACUCCACCCAGGUUACAGCUGGGCGUUUCUCAGCAGUUGCAUGACUCAAGAUCUAACACAUGCAGUUAGAAAUCGUUCUUUUCCUUUUCUUAUCAUGGGUUUUCCUUUUCCAUGCAGAAAGAAUUCCAUGUCUCAUGAUGCAUGUAUACAAAAGGAACAUCCCAUUUAUGUGAACACACUCCAGAAGAAAGUCUUCAGCAUCGAUAAUUUUGCCAAUAUGUUCUUGUCUCAUGAAGUGAAGGGGCCAUGGAGUUUUGACAGGUGGUAACCUGCCACAAUUUAUUUUAUACCGAAUAUUUAACAUAUAAGUAUGUACAAAACCAAAGCUUUUAUUAAGGCUGUAAAAUAAAACUUUCAUGAGUUGGGAAAUUCCAGAAUCAAGGCUGCUGAUUUAAAUUAAUUUCUGUCACAUUUUUUGCAAAUCCCUGAGUAUGUAUUGAUCCAAACACUUAAAAACUGACAAAAGUAUUAAAAAACUCAAACCAGACU